RNAcentral lists this ribosomal RNA (390 nucleotides) under uncultured bacterium. RNAcentral's name for it is "bacterial SSU rRNA". It matches the Rfam family "Bacterial small subunit ribosomal RNA", at positions 42 to 458 of the family's 1533-position model. The record is from RNAcentral.
UCAGGCCUAACACAUGCAAGUCGUACGGGAAUUUUUAAUUCAAGUGGCGGACGGGUGAGUAACACGUAAGAAUUUGCCUUUAGGAGGGGGACAACAACUGGAAACGGUUGCUAAUACCCCAUAUGCUUUCGAGUGAAAUGGAUUUUUCCGCCUAAAGAGAAGCUUGCGGCUGAUUAGCUUGUUGGUGAGGUAAUGGCUCACCAAGGCGACGAUCAGUAUCUGGUUUGAGAGGAUGAUCAGACACACUGGAACUGAGACACGGUCCAGACUCCUACGGGAGGCAGCAGUGGGGAAUUUUCCGCAAUGGGCGAAAGCCUGACGGAGCAAUCUCGCGUGAGGGAUGAAGGGCUAUGGGUUGUAAACCUCUUUUUCAGGGAGGAACAAAAUGAC